This is a long non-coding RNA of Perca fluviatilis (European perch), 443 nucleotides long. RefSeq lists it as uncharacterized. The transcript has 2 exons. NCBI's taxonomy places the organism in Eukaryota, Metazoa, Chordata, Actinopteri, Perciformes, Percidae. The record is from RefSeq and is a predicted model, not a curated record.
UUUCGAUAAUGGCGGCCGAUAUCGCGACAGCGAGACCCAAAUGGACACGGACAAUGCUGCCAACUUGAGGGAAGUCCUCCUCUGCUGAAAGGCGAACGAGCUGGGGGAGGAGAGAGAGGAUUUCCCUGCUGGUCUUGUGGACAGCACGGUGCACUGUCAGUGUGCAAAGGCUCUGGCUAAACCACGAUCAGAUGUCCCGCUUGUGAGCCAAAAGAGGAAGACAAGGGCCUCGAUGACGGGUCCCACGCCGUACCGAGGAUGUACCGUUAAAGGAUCCUGCUGGAGAGUCUGAAGUCCACCCUCAUAUCACUUUCCCCAUCAAAAUACAGGGCCAGCAAUGAAUAGAACAAUAGGAUCUAUUUAAAUGUCUAUUGUGUUGCCUCUGCUUUCACUCUUGUAUUUUCACUGUAAUUAAUAGCUAUUGCAAUAAACACCCUUUAUAU